UCAGGAUGAACGCUGGCGGCGUGCCUAACACAUGCAAGUCGAACGGAACUUCUUCGACAGAAUUCUUCGGAAGGAAGUUGAUUAAGUUUAGUGGCGGACGGGUGAGUAACGCGUGAGUAACCUGCCUUUGAGAGGGGAAUAACUUCCCGAAAGGGAUGCUAAUACCGCAUGAUGCAUAUUUAUCGCAUGGUAGAUGUGCCAAAGAUUUAUCGCUCAAAGAUGGACUCGCGUCCGAUUAGCCAGUUGGCGGGGUAACGGCCCACCAAAGCGACGAUCGGUAGCCGGACUGAGAGGUUGAACGGCCACAUUGGGACUGAGACACGGCCCAGACUCCUACGGGAGGCAGCAGUGGGGGAUAUUGCGCAAUGGGGGAAACCCUGACGCAGCAACGCCGCGUGAAGGAUGAAGGUUUUCGGAUUGUAAACUUCUUUUAUUUAGGACGAACAAUGACGGUACUAAAUGAAUAAGCUCCGGCUAACUACGUGCCAGCAGCCGCGGUAAUACGUAGGGAGCAAGCGUUAUCCGGAUUUACUGGGUGUAAAGGGUGCGUAGGCGGCUUGGUAAGUCAGAUGUGAAAUGUAUGGGCUCAACCCAUGCACUGCAUUUGAAACUAUUGAGCUUGAGUGAAGUAGAGGUAGGCGGAAUUCCCUGUGUAGCGGUGAAAUGCGUAGAGAUAGGGAGGAACACCAGUGGCGAAGGCGGCCUACUGGGCUUUAACUGACGCUGAGGCACGAAAGCGUGGGUAGCAAACAGGAUUAGAUACCCUGGUAGUCCACGCUGUAAACGAUGAUUACUAGGUGUGGGGGGUCUGACCCCUUCCGUGCCGGAGUUAACACGAUAAGUAAUCCACCUGGGGAGUACGACCGCAAGGUUGAAACUCAAAGGAAUUGACGG
RNAcentral lists this ribosomal RNA (894 nucleotides) under uncultured bacterium. RNAcentral's name for it is "bacterial SSU rRNA". It matches the Rfam family "Bacterial small subunit ribosomal RNA", at positions 24 to 916 of the family's 1533-position model. The record is from RNAcentral.